CACGUGAGCAAUCUGCCUUUCAGAGGGGGAUACCGACCCCCCACGAUCGUUAAUACCGCAUAACAUAAUUGAACCGCAUGAUUUGAUUAUCAAAGAUUUAUCGUUGAAAGAUGAGCUCGCGUCUGAUUAGCUAGUUGGUAAGGUAACGGCUUACCAAGGCGACGAUCAGUAGCCGGACUGAGAGGUUGAUCGGCCACAUUGGGACUGAGACACGGCCCAGACUCCUACGGGAGGCAGCAGUGGGGAAUAUUGCACAAUGGAGGAAACUCUGAUGCAGCGAUGCCGCGUGAGGGAAGAAGGUUUUAGGAUUGUAAACCUCUGUCUUCAGGGACGAAAAAAGACGGUACCUGAGGAGGAAGCUCCGGCUAACUACGUGCCAGCAGCCGCGGUAAUACGUAGGGAGCGAGCGUUGUCCGGAAUUACUGGGUGUAAAGGGAGCGUAGGCGGGAUCGCAAGUCAGAUGUGAAAACUAUGGGCUUAACCCAUAAACUGCAUUUGAAACUGUGGUUCUUGAGUGAAGUAGAGGUAAGCGGAAUUCCUAGUGUAGCGGUGAAAUGCGUAGAUAUUAGGAGGAACAUCAGUGGCGAAGGCGGCUUACUGGGCUUUAACUGACGCUGAGGCUCGAAAGCGUGGGGAGCAAACAGGAUUAGAUACCCUGGUAGUCCACGCCGUAAACGAUGAUUACUAGGUGUGGGGGGACUGACCCCUUCCGUGCCGCAGCAAACGCAAUAAGUAAUCCACCUGGGGAGUACGACCGCAAGGUUGAAACUCAAAGGAAUUGACGGGGGCCCGCACAAGCAGUGGAGUAUGUGGAUUAAUUCGAAGCAACGCGAAGAACCUUACCAGGUCUUGACAUCGUAUGCAUAGCUCAGAGAUGAGUGAAAUCUCUUCGGAGACAUAUAGACAGGUGGUGCAUGGUUGUCGUCAGCUCGUGUCGUGAGAUGUUGGGUUAAGUCCCGCAACGAGCGCAACCCUUACUGUUAGUUGCUACGCAAGAGCACUCUAGCAGGACUGCCGUUGACAAAACGGAGGAAGGUGGGGAUGACGUCAAAUCAUCAUGCCCCUUAUGACCUGGGCCUCACACGUACUACAAUGGCUGUCAACAGAGGGAAGCAAAGCCGCGAGGUGGAGCAAACCCCUAAAAGCAGUCUUAGUUCGGAUUGUAGGCUGCAACCCGCCUACAUGAAGUCGGAAUUGCUAGUAAUCGCAGAUCAGCAUGCUGCGGUGAAUACGUUCCCGGGCCUUGCACU
RNAcentral lists this ribosomal RNA (1250 nucleotides) under uncultured bacterium. RNAcentral describes it as "bacterial SSU rRNA". It matches the Rfam family "Bacterial small subunit ribosomal RNA", at positions 114 to 1387 of the family's 1533-position model. The record is from RNAcentral.